This is a long non-coding RNA of Bubalus bubalis (water buffalo), 942 nucleotides long. RefSeq lists it as uncharacterized. The transcript is spliced from 2 exons. Lineage: Eukaryota; Metazoa; Chordata; Mammalia; Artiodactyla; Bovidae. The record is from RefSeq and is a predicted model, not a curated record.
AAAAUAAACAACUCUGCUUGUGAUCCUAAAUUGGGACCAUAUGGACAUGUGAAAGCUACAAAUGCGCUACAUUUCGACUCCGAGUUUCUGCCUUCACUGUUUGCGUGCCUCCGAGUAGAUGCUGAUAAUGUUGCCUUUGGUCCCAAAGGAACCUGAGAUUCUUAGCUCCUAGGAUGAGGGAGCAAGCAGAAGAAAGAAAAGGAAUGAAAACAAAUGCCUUUCAAGACAAAAUAUCUGAACAAUACUAAAACAUCAGGUGGAGAAGUUAACUACACGAUGACCAGACUGUACCCAGGACAUGAGCUGCUACAAUUCUAGGAGCUGGCCUCAAAGAAACAGGAACAAAUGGACCCUGGAACUGAAGGUUAACUGUCCCUGAAGCAAUCAAGAUGACACUGGUCAGAGCACCGAUGACCAAUUUGAAGAUGACUGUCAGAUCAGAGAUGACUGUGCUGUUUCUGCAUGUAGCCCCCUCCUUCUGUCUGUAAAAGCUCUGGCCCCACUAGUUGCUAGCUGGGGGGGAGUCGGCCGUUGGACAGAUGUCCGCCCCUCUCCCCUACCCCUGGUUGCCAGCAUCUGAAAUGAAGCAACCUUUCCUUUCCACCAACCUGGCAUGUUUAUUGGCUUUUGGGCAGUGAGCAGCCAGAUCCCUCCUCACCUGUCAGCAGGGCAUAGACUCUUGACUCAUCUCUCCCUUCUGCACUGUUUGAGAUUUCUCUUAUUUCUGCUCGUGUUGUGGCUGCUCCACCCCAAUCUGUGUCACCUCUCCCAUGAGUCUCAGCAGUAGUGUGUUAUUAAGCCUUCUUAACUUCCCUCCAGUCUACCUUUGUACAGUGGCCUUCAGAAAGAUGCUUGAGUACAGUGGAUCUGGGGUAGAGGGCUGGGAUUUUUAAAAAUUCCACAAGUGAUUCUGAUGUGCACCCUUGGUGGGAAAGAGGGUUU